Molecule: transfer RNA, 84 nt
Filed under: Candidatus Woesearchaeota archaeon ex4484_78
Lineage: Archaea; Nanobdellati; Candidatus Woesearchaeota
Also listed under: 1 other name
Description: tRNA-Leu
Rfam family: tRNA
About the family: Transfer RNA (tRNA) molecules are approximately 80 nucleotides in length. Their secondary structure includes four short double-helical elements and three loops (D, anti-codon, and T loops). Further hydrogen bonds mediate the characteristic L-shaped molecular structure. tRNAs have two regions of fundamental functional importance: the anti-codon, which is responsible for specific mRNA codon recognition, and the 3' end, to which the tRNAs corresponding amino acid is attached (by aminoacyl-tRNA synthetases). tRNAs cope with the degeneracy of the genetic code in two manners: having more than one tRNA (with a specific anti-codon) for a particular amino acid; and 'wobble' base-pairing, i.e. permitting non-standard base-pairing at the 3rd anti-codon position.
Source: RNAcentral
GCGGCGGUGCCAGAGCGGUCAAAUGGGUCAGGUUUAGGACCUGAUGGCUUAGUGCCUUCGCAGGUUCAAAUCCUGUCCGCCGCA